GGACUAAUACAAAUAAUAAUAAGGUGUGAAAAUGAACAGUAUCAAAAUGCAAAGGUAGCAACUUCAUUGAGCCAAAAAACACAGACUACAGAAUAUGCUUCGAGGCAAUGUGCAUCCAGACCUGCGCGUCAAUGAAUUCAGCUGUUUUAUUUCUAGUUUCACGAAUAUUAAAAUGCUUUGUCUAUCUUACCCAACUUAUUAUUGCUUAAAUCUCUCUUCAGUUCACAGACAGCCCUGUGAUCCAUAACCUCCCCGGAAGUGUCCUCGAUGUAGACCACUGCUUGUCCCCCCCUCCCUCCUCUAUUGAAGCUAAAUAUAUCCUACAAGAGCUCUGACCCCCACAUCACUGCAUGUAUCAUCUACCCAUAACACAAUAACAGCUCCAACCGUAUCUCCGUCAAGCUAAAUGCAGCGCUGACUAAGCCUGUGUGGCACCUGCCCCACCUCCACAGGCUUACGUAUGUUCAGUCAACCUCCGUCAGGUCCGAUGGAGGGGCCACAAUGGCCUCCUGGACCUCUCGGUAUCCCCUCCGUCCACGCACGUGCAGCCAAACACAGAACUGUGUGGAUGAGGAGUGGGAUCGCUGCAGGUUAACUCACACCGGUGAAGUUUGGUAGAUUACUCCAAGUUUAGGGCCGGAGCAACGGCCUUCCUUUAUUCCCCGUAGGCACUUUCUUUGAAGAAAAAUGCAACAAUCGGGCUGGCAGGGUGUUGAUGCCCCGGCUUGAUAUCCUCAAAAAUAUUGCACCAUUUACUGCAUGUUUUACAUUUUGCUUGUGCCCGUUCGCAGCUGCUCACCAAACAAAAUGUUGUUGUUUCCAGAGGUUCUAAUGAUCACUUUGGAAAAGCGCAAAAUAUACUUCAUAACGCAUCCCCUCUUUGUGAAUAGCUUACUAGAAUGAUCCCCACGUUUUACUACAUUACAUCUAUAGUUCGGUUACAUGGAAAGACUGGUAGGUAUAGACAGACAGAGAUGAUGAUGGAGUCUGUAGAUGACAAUUCACCCACAGAAAUGUAUUCUAUGGCACAAUUCUACAAAAACAAUGGAUCAUCUGAAUGAGGGAGAUCAAUUUUAUUUUUUCCGUAUGUAUUACAUCAUAAAAAGCAGCACUAUUAAGAAUGAUAUACAUAAUAUAUAUGUAUAGAGAGAAUAAUAAUCCUCAUCAACAUAGUGUUCAGACUCUGCUGUUGUUCAGACGCACAGAGAUGUUCGCUGCUCCACAGAAGAAGAACUUAGCAGAUCUCCGUUAUUCGGUAGAUCCGCUGUCAGUGGAUCCGAUUCAGCACCGCGGAGUCACCGGUGUUUAUUUAGAGAAAUAACAGCCGUAUCCCCCCAGGUGAGGGUUAGCAUCAGAGAGGGUCGUUUUGUUCUUACCCAAGUAGUUGGUCCGGAUGGUGUUCGGCUCGUUGUAUCCAAUCAGACGUUUGUUUACAUCCCAAACCAGGUUUCCAGACCAGGACAUUGUGACCAUAUGACGGUUUGAAUUAACAAUAACAUUGAAAGCAAGCUAACGCGUUGCCGUUGAUGUCGCCUUUUAUUUGAUCGUCGAUCGGCUGUGCCAUCGACGUCGGUCCCCUGCGGGUCGGGACGGCGCUAAUGUUAGCCGGCUGCUACGCUCCGCGUCCGCAUCGCUGGAGGUGAAAGACGCGCUGCUGUCCCCGUCCCCGCUGUCCUCGCUAGUCUACCCACACCGUCCUCCGGCUCUCUGCGCUGCUAACUGUCCGUCCUGCUAGGCUAGGCAGGUUUAUUUCUUCUAGCCAGGCAGCGGUCAGCUGUGUCCAAAACAACGCGAUAAACAACGUGUUU
This is a long non-coding RNA of Gasterosteus aculeatus aculeatus (three-spined stickleback), 1808 nucleotides long. The record is from Ensembl. Lineage: Eukaryota; Metazoa; Chordata; Actinopteri; Perciformes; Gasterosteidae.